GAUAUAGUCCCCCCGUCCGGAAAUACUUGUCAGAGAAAUAAACAAAAAUGGAUGUAUCUAGAAACUAAAAUACGUCUAGAUACAUCAAUUUCUCCGACAAGUAUUUCUGGACGGAGGGAGUACUAA
Molecule: non-coding RNA, 126 nt
Organism: Triticum aestivum (bread wheat)
Lineage: Eukaryota; Viridiplantae; Streptophyta; Magnoliopsida; Poales; Poaceae
Source: Rfam